AACGAACGCUGGCGGCAUGCCUAACACAUGCAAGUCGAACGAGACCUUCGGGUCUAGUGGCGCACGGGUGCGUAACGCCUGGGAACCUGCCCUUAGGUUCGGAAUAACUCCCCGAAAGGGGUGCUAAUACCGGUUAAUGUCUUCGGACCAAAGAUUUAUCGCCUUUGGAUGGGCCCGCGUUGGAUUAGCUAGUUGGUAGGGUAAAAGCAUACCAAGGCGACGAUCCAUAGCUGGUCUGAGAGGAUGAUCAGCCACACUGGAACUGAGACACGGCCCAGACUGCUACGGGAGGCAGCAGUGUGGAGUAUUAGAGAAUGGGCGAUAGCCUGAUCCAGCAAUGCCGCGUGAGUGAUGAAGGCCUUAGGGUUGUAAAGCUCUUUUACACGGGAUGAUAAUGACAGUACCGGGAGAAUAAGCUCCGGCUAGCUCCGUG
This 433-nucleotide ribosomal RNA is filed under the name uncultured bacterium. RNAcentral's name for it is "partial 16S ribosomal RNA". It matches the Rfam family "Bacterial small subunit ribosomal RNA", at positions 29 to 507 of the family's 1533-position model. The record is from RNAcentral.